This is a long non-coding RNA of Acinonyx jubatus (cheetah), 4905 nucleotides long. RefSeq lists it as uncharacterized. The record is from RefSeq and is a predicted model, not a curated record. NCBI's taxonomy places the organism in Eukaryota, Metazoa, Chordata, Mammalia, Carnivora, Felidae. The transcript has 3 exons.
GCCGCACGGUCUCCGGCGCGGUCCGCCCCAACUGCUUUAUAAGGCGCGGGCAGUAGCUUUGAUCCGCCCACGUCAGCGCGCCGAAACCCCACAGGGUGGCUCCUGCCGCGCGCGGGGGGCGGGGGCGGGGUCCCCGCGGACGCCACGGACCCGCGGCGCCAGCGGCGCAGAGGACUUCGCACCCUGUCGAGUUACAAAGGGGGGGCACUUACUAACUGUAGCCGGUGUUUAAUAAGCGUGCCUGCUGCGAGCCUACGGCGGACCUGCGGCACGUGGGGCCCGGGUAGGACAGGUUUCUAACCCUCGCAGCCAGCCGAGCGAGGCACCUCAACCAGUCUGGUUUGACAGAGGAGGAAGCCACCGCUCAAGGAGAAGUCCCACUUAAGUCUCGGCCGGGAGCCUGGCGGACAUCCCUGGGGGGGGGGGGGGGGGCGUUGCAGCUCGGGUGCUUUAGGCGACCCAGUACGUCCCAGCUCCAGCUCCGGAGAGCUGCGUUGGCGUCCCAGUAAGUCCUUUGAGGGGGUUAUUUCUCGAGUCCUCUGAUUCCACUUCUGGAAAAGGGAUCAGCCAUUCUGAGCUCUCCGCGGAGAAAGGAAGAGAGGGCGCCCUGCUCUGUGAAGCGCGCUGUAAACGUUAGGCACCAGAAAGCAGGCGUUCCAGCCUCUGGGAUGACCGUUGGGGAGUUUUCUGGACACCUUGCCUCCUGUCCCCACGGAGCUACCGGCUGAGAACUGGGUUUUAGAAACUAGAAAGAACUACAGAGUUUGCUCCCUGCCCAGCAUAGACCUGGGCUGCGGCUCCGGUUGUGUUUCUGAGGCAACUGCCCCAAGACUGGUAAGUGUCCAUCCCUCUCCCCACACACACCUUGGCCUUUCUGGCUGAUGGUACACCCCCCCCCCCCCAUUUCUAACUUGCUGGGCAACUUCAGGUUGCCAUGGCUUCUGUCUGCCCCACCCCGGGGGCUCGGUCCCAAGCAUAAUCUCAAGGAUAAUCAAGUUCAUUAGCAGAAGGGAAGCAUAGACUUAGUGAAGAGGGGUUUGCCUCAGGUCCCUAAAACACCAUUCCCCCCGUUCUUUGCAGCUACCCAUGAAGUGGCACCCAUAAGCUGCCCUAGCCUGCCUGCAGGUACCUCCAUAUACAUACACACCUCUGGGCCCACGAAGCCCACUGCAGGUUCUCGGCCAUACAGAAUACUCCCUGCACGUGGACAGCCAGUCCCCCUUGCACACAGGGCUGGGACACAGCACCCCACAAAUGGUCAGAACACACUCAGGAGAUACUUGCACACACCAUAGGCCCACACACAUUCAGGAGCACACACAAGUGACAUGGCCAUAUCCAUCUGCAAGAUGAGGCCAAACCCUGUGCCCCCACCAAGUUCAUGCACAGAGACGUGCUUCCAUGCACUCCUGCAUAGAGUCAUAGGUGUGUCCUUGUGAACACGUGCUGGGACACCCAGUCUCCUCUCCUAGAGCAUCAGGGUCAGUAAAAACUGUGGGAGACUAGGGGUUAUAAAAGCUGCAGGAAGGUGGUGGGGCUUUGGGUGGGGUGUCUAGAAAGGGCAGGGGAGGGUCAAGGCUGCUCCACCUAAGAGGCUGGAGACAGAGGCAUCCAGGGGUCAAGAGUGUCCUUAGCUCUUCCACGGCAAGGCACCCUGGCCACCACAGUGGGAGCCAUUCCAGGUGGCCUGGGUCCAAUUGGAUGCACCCACCUCUGGGUCUAACUUUCUGCUUCGAGAGAGGCUGAAUGAGUUGCCUGCCAACAUUUGCAUAAGCAGCACUUCAUCCAGAAAUCUCCUUCUGGCUCCCGGCUAGAGUAGAAACAGAAAACCCUUUGGAGUCAUACCGACUUAGGCUCCAAUAUUGAUUUUGCUCAAUUUCACUUUUAGCAGUAUCACACUGCUUGAGCGAAUUGCUUAAACUCUCGUGUGUUAGUUUCCUCAUCCAUAAACGGGUAUAAUGCAAUCCCAUCAAAUCUUCUAUAUUCUCCAAGAUGGGAUUAGUAUCCCCCUUUCAUAGAUAUGGAAGCUGAGGCUCAAAAGUGUGGGGCUGGCAAGUGUCAGGGCUGCUCUCUGAACCCAGAUCUUUCUGGCUCUGUGUGCACUCUAGCUUAUGGCCCCCAUUAAAUCAGAUGGGAGGAUAGUGACUUUCCACUGUGAGAGGAGUUGAGGGAAGCCAGGAGAAGAUCCCAGAAUUCCUGAAGCCCAGCCCUGAGCCCUCCUGUCUCCUCCCUGAUACUCAGCUCUGUCUUUGUGAAUUAAGACCCAGGCAUUAGCUAAGGGCUCAAAACCCUGCCCUGGGAGGUGAGGGAAAGCAUGAAGUGGUGACAAAACCCUGGAUUCUGAGUCAAGCGAGGCCUGGGGCAGGGGUCAGCCCCUCCCUGGACACCAGGCUCCCCAUUUGUGUAAGCUGAAUAGUUGAUCACCUCAGACAUUUUGGGAUUCUCAGAGACACUUGUGAGAAAAAAACAUUUUUCGUUUUUAGGACAAAACGACCUCCCCCCUUCCCUUUUUCUCCUCCUUCCUUCUGUCCAGGGGCUCCUCAAGGGCUGCUGUGUGUCAAGGCUGUGCUGGCCGGCUGGGCUGCAAGCUCCUCUUCAGGGGGACAGGGGGGAGGCUCUAAUCUAGGCUGGGCGGGCAUGCUCUUGGCUGCUGCCGCUGUAGAUGUUAAUAUAUUUUCCUUCUCCUCAAUUACCCCCGGUGAUUCUGGUUAUCUGAUCGCCCAGACGUGCUGGGGGCUUCCUGUCCGCCGGCUUCUCAGCCCCUGCCUGACUGCCAUUGGUUAGGGGCACACACCUUUCCAUCCCCCACCCCUGCACACAGCCUAGUCAGGGGGGCACCCAGACUGAAAGGACGUGGAGGUAGGAGAGUUCCAGUUCAUUGUGCUGGCCUCUAUGGAUCCCUCCACCCAUCUCAGCUUCCCUCCCUUAGGGCCAAGGCCUUGGGGUGAAUCAGCUAUCUCCGGGAACCCUGGAUGGGGAGACAGGUGACCUGGGUGUAGGUCUUAGCCCUGUCAGUAGUUUGCUAUGUGAUAGCAGAUAAUCGUUCUGCCCUUUCUGAGCCCUAGUCACCCCAUCUGCGAGGGGUGGGUUGAACUAGGUAACCCCCCAAACACAUUUGCAGCUCCAGAAACCAAGUCUAGGGUUCUUUUCACUCUUACUUGCAGCACAGGAUAAACCACGAGCACAGUGGACACCAUGAGACCAAAGGGUCAUGUUUCCAGCAUUAGGGCGAAUUUUAUUUAUUUUUUUAAGUUUAUUUAUUUUGAGAGAGAGAGAGAGAGAGAGCACAUGCAAGUUGGGGAGGGGCAUAGAGAGAGGAAGAGAGAGAGAGAAUCCCAAUCAGGUUCUUCGUACUGUCAGGGUGGAGCCAGAUACGGGGCUCAAACUCACCAAUGGAGAGAUCAUGACCUGAGCCAAAGUUGGACGCUUAACCGACUGAGCCACCCAGAUGCCCCAAUACUAGAGUGCAUUUUAGAAAGGCCUUCCCAGGAAGGCAGGUGAACAAGGGUCUGUGCAGAGUAACCCAGCCCAGCUGGCCUCUGACCCAGGGGCUGGGAUGCCCCCUGAGGCUACAUCUUCCAGACAAACAGGGAGGGUGAUCAAACAGCAGCAGGCAUAUCAUCAGAAUACCUGGGCCUGGCUCUCAGGUUCCCCCUCCCUUCACUUACCCGCUGCGUGACCCUGGUCAAGUCUCUCAGCCUCUGUGAUCCUUGGUUUCAUCAUCUGCAAAAUGGGAGCACCUUUAAACCCCUCUCUUCGAAUUUACUGGCAGGUAACGUUGCAGGAAAGAAGUACUAUCAGUUGACCAGGAACCCGCUGUAUGCUAAGCAGUUUCGGUGCCUGUGGGUGAGGCCAGCAUUGCUCUGCUCUUACACUGACCCCAGCCCUGUCUGGUCAUUUCAGAACCGCGGAGUCGGGCCAUCCACCCUGUCAUAUCUCUGAAGUUCUGGCUGCUGGAGCAGAAAUGUCUCCACGGCGCGGGGAGCAUCAUGUGGUUAGCCACUGGCUCUAUCUCGCCCACGCUGCCUCCCCGGGGGCUCCGUCAAGGCCCCGAACAGUGGGUGCUCCAAAGUUGCCAGGUUGGUGAAAAACCAAAAGACUCUGGUGCCUGCGUCAUAGCAUAGCUCAGAAGACACCUCCCAUGUCCCUGUCGGGAAUCCCAUGGCAGAGAGUCCCAGCCAGGACAUCCAGCAAGGCCUCUCGGCCACGGGGCUAGCAGCGAGCAGGCCACACGUGUCCUGACGCUGUUGGCUGCACUCAGUCUGGGUGUGGUGGGGCUGUGUGAGAGAGAGCAAGGUGGUUGGGGUCUAGCGAUGGGUGGGGGGGGUGAGGCUUUGUUUCUCACUUUGUGCUUAAGUGAGCAAAACCCGCAGAAGCUCAGGGAGAAGAAUGUGCAAAAGGAAGGGAAAAGGAAACUACCAUUUGUCAACUACCUCCUAUUCCCCCGGAGGCAUUCUGUGAACUUCCUCUCCGCUCACAACCACCCAGAGAAACAGGAGGAUCGUCCCCAUUCAUAGAACCCACAGCUGACUCAGAGAGAAGGAUACAUCUGCCCAAGAUCACACAGCCAGCAGGUGACAGAGCUAGGAUUUGAACCCUGUUCCAUCUCUCCUAAAGCACAUGCUUUUCCCUUAAUGCCCUCGCUACCCUAGAGAAAAGGGAGGAAAAAAAAAGGCAAGAUAGAAAGAGGCCCGGCUCGGGGAAAGUCACACAGAGAGAAAAAGAAAAAACGAGAGUGGAAAGAGCAUGAGGCCGCAGCCGAGGCCUGGAGCGGGUCCUCGGGGAGCAGCAGAGGGCGGGGAUGGCCGGAAACCGGCUCACCGAACCUGGAGCCAAGAACCAUGCUUGGCCUGAGACCUGGUGGAAAAGCUCUCACCUCAAGAUAGUGAAGUGGGGGAAACUGGC